CAGCCGACAGGGAGAGCUCUAGCCUCCCAUAGCUAGGUUGAGACUGGCUCCCCGUCUCUGUUGAAGCUUGUCCUACUUUCUGGCCCACUAAAUGUUUGAUUGUCAACAUCAACCAGUGAGCAACCCUGCAGCCUGUUCAGCACACACCUGGGAUGCACAGCAGGUGGAAACCUGGUUAGUCCUGCUGUGAACGGGAAAACCUGAAACUAUGACAAUUUUUACAGACUUAGAAAAUUUUUUGUCUUGUGAGGGUGCAUUUGUAGGUGUCCCUUUUUCUGUGGUGGCACCGGGCAAUUAUAUUUUACUACUUGGAUAAAGGAAACAUUUAUCACAGCUUCUGUUUGUGAGUGGCCUUGAGAUGAACGAGCAAGUAGUACAGUUUCAUAUAAACAGGAAGACGUUGCUGAUGGGCCAUGCAUGUGGUCGGGUUAUUUAGUUAUGCAUGCACAAACCCACAAGUUUCUCUCUAUACGACUGACUGCAUCUGACUUUCCAACCCUGACAGGUAUUGCUCACACAGAUUGCUAGCGUCUAGAAGCAAAAUGAGGAUUCUGCCCUGAGCUUAUGUCCCAUUUCUCUUGUGAAAAUCUGAAGAGGAGUCGUUCCGUUUGGUGCAGUUAAGCUCAGACUGGCUUGACAAUGUCCGCCUUUACGGAAUAAGCAUGUAGGAGAACCAAAGGUUGUUUGCAGGCUACCCCCUUGAGAUCUGCAGGGUUCCCUCAGCAUCCUUUGAUGCUGCUGGAGGUGAAGGUAGAACGAGCUCGGCCUUUCAGAAAGGCACAGGACAGACAUGUUUUUGGAAACCCACUGAUCUCCUGGGCUUUUACUGCUUGUCCAUGUCUCAUUCUUCAAGAGGAUUUAAUUAUGAGAGGACAUCGUGUGUGCUGCCUGGCUCCCAGCUCCUGAGGCUCCGCUGGGGCUACAAGCACAGGGCUCUGACCCAGAAGUGUUGCUUUCCUCACUGAGACUCUACACAUUCCUACCAGCUGCCCUGCUCUUCAGAUGCUGCACAUCCUACUUCUCUUCUACAGUCUGCUAUGCUCUUAGAAGCCUUGUACCAAGCCAAGAUUCACUGUGGCAGAGAAACCAUUCCCUCCUAAUACGAGAAGCCAGUGAGCGUUUCUGCAACAGCUCUAGCAGAAGCGAUUGCCAAGUAUGCUUGGACCCCAUACAGCACAAUCAGGUCUCAAUUAAACCACUCACGUGGUGGUUGGGAGGAAAGGCAAACAAUACUCUGAUGGAGUCAGACAACACGGAGUGAUUUUUUGCAUCAUGGAGGACAUGAGUUCCGUGUCAGUGCCAGCUGUGUCUGGAAGCACAAAUACGUGUUACCUCUCUAAAAUGGCAAUUGGUAUUGGAGGCUUGCCUGUACCGUAGGGCCCCCCCCCCCCCCCAGGAAUUCCUGUUCUGCCACAGAGGUGUGACAGGGGUACCUUUUGCAGUGGUGAGCACCUUGAGCAGGAGGGGAGACUGCCUUGCACUGGAUUCUUUGUCCUAGGAGACAGGCUGUCAUCUUCUGAGAAGACGCAUAAAGAGCAUCUGCAGAAAGCGACUCUUCUCUGCUGGAAACUGAAGAAACACAAACGCGACAUGAACCUGUGUGAUGUGUGACUGACCAGUAUCCCCAGUACCUCUGAGAUGCCAGCCAGGAGGCAGCAGCACUGGCAACGGAUGCGAUGUCCCCGAAUUGCCUUGGGUUCAAGUGACCCUUUGAGGUGGCGGGGCUGGUGCAGGGAAGGAAGGUGUGAUUGGUGAGACAGGGCUGCUGCUCUGCUUAAAGCUUCCGACUGCAGUUGCUGCAAGCAGAUGAGGAAGUGUUAACGGCACACCCUGAGUUGAGCCCCAACCAUGCAGCCCCUCCAGCGCGCCCACCUGCUCCUCCUGCUCACCCUGCUCAUCCUCUGCAUGCCCUUUGGCCAGAUGGACAACCUGGACACCAAGGACCCCAAGCCCGUGACCACCCUCCCCAGCAAUCAAAGCAUCUCCCAGAGCAGCCUGAGCCCCCCGUGGGGCAGCCCAUCCCUCUUCUCCCUCACCCUGGGGCUGGCUGCAGCUUUCUUCCUGGGGCUGCGCUGACCAGAGCGGGCCACCGUGCACCCCACCCUCCCUGACCCCCUCAAGAAGACACCCCCAGGAUGGCACCCCCUGCACCUGCACAUCCUUGGACCCUCGCAGCGUGGAGCUGCCAUCCCUGCCUCCCUCCCCUCAGUGCUCCAGCCUCAAAACAAAACCCCGAAGCUGCCCCAGCUGGAAGUGAAGCCCUGGGGCCGGCUCGGGAGCGGGGCUGCUGCGAGGCUCUGAGAAAUAAAGCACUGGUGUAGAG
Molecule: long non-coding RNA, 2323 nt
Organism: Falco peregrinus (peregrine falcon)
Lineage: Eukaryota; Metazoa; Chordata; Aves; Falconiformes; Falconidae
Exons: 8
Source: RefSeq, a predicted model, not a curated record